AACAAGCAAUAGGAGAACCAAGUUGCCAUGAGGACAAGUGCUGAUCUUGCAGAUCUGGACAACAGCCCCAUUGGAGGGUUCAUUAAGAUGCCACGUGUUCAUCUGAGUUCUUAGUCUUUCUAUUCCUCUUCAACUUGCCUGAUGAUCUCUUCUGUGGUAGCUUUGUCAGUGUCUUCAGCCCCGUUGGACUACAAGCCCAUGAUGAUCCAUGGUAGCACUGGAACUGCUUUCACUGCUUGGCCUUCUCCUCCACAGCAAGAUUUUAUUCAAAUCACAACAGUUCAAGCAUUUUAUCAAAAAUAAUGUUCCUCUGCUUCACGAAGACAUUAUUGCUUAGGGUGAAUGACAUUUCUCUGAUCUACUGUGGCUCUUCAGGUGCAAAAGCAGGAACCUGAAGAUAGAGAUGCAGCGCUUCACUGACCUGUCUGUAUUUCCCUUGCGACUUUUUCUUAGGUGCUGAAAUCAGUGGAGCUACUUGAGGCCACAAAGGUGGCAGAAGAAGGAAAACAUUUGAUUUUGCAUAGGAAACUUUCUGAUUUCUGGGACUUCUUCCUACUAGGGAAGGAUUAUUGCAGCCCACCACUUCUGAAACGUCUCAAAGAUGGAGCAACCUGUCCCAGAGGCCAUCUGCACUGGCACUGGGGCACUUGACCUAUCGUGACUUGACCUACGCUUCACGUGAGCACUGUGGGCUUCUGAGCCAUGGUUGCUCCACUGCUGCAGACGGAGGAGCAGUCGGUGCCAUCAGCCCCAACAGAUGAGGAGCAUUUCCUGGAGAAUCAGUGCAGAGCUGCUCAUCUCCAGAUCAGCUGUGAAACCAACACACCACGAUUCACAUAUGUUCACUAAAGAUGCUGCAUUUCCCAAGAGCAGAGGCAGCACAUGACUAGAUAAUUCUUUUCCUAUUCUAAGCUAGUUCAGCAACCACAACAUUUCCUCUUCCCAGCUUGUGUCACAAUCCUGCUGCAAGCUGUUACCACCUGUUGUCUUCUCCCAAGAGAAAUUGCUUCCAGCUAUUCAAAAAUGAGGUGUGUAGUGGCCUUAAGAAAGGUGGUUUGGUGUUUAAUUUCCAAAAGUCUUUGCACUGGUUGAAUGUAGUAACUGUCUAGGAAUUAAAAAAAAAAA
Molecule: long non-coding RNA, 1125 nt
Organism: Centrocercus urophasianus (Greater sage-grouse)
Lineage: Eukaryota; Metazoa; Chordata; Aves; Galliformes; Phasianidae
Exons: 3
Source: RefSeq, a predicted model, not a curated record